GCUCAGAUUGAACGCUGGCGGAAUGCUUUACACAUGCAAGUCGAGCGGCAGCGCGGGGCAACCUGGCGGCGAGUGGCGAACGGGUGAGUAAUGCAUCGGAACAUGUCCAUGUCGUGGGGGAUAGCCCGGCGAACGCCGGAUUAAUACCGCAUACGCCAGAGAGGGGAACGUGGGGGACCGCAAGGCCUCACGCGAUUGGGUUGGCCGAUGUCCGAUUAGCUAGUUGGCGGGGUAAGAGUCCACCAAGGCGAUGAUCGGUAGCUGGUCUGAGAGGAUGAUCAGCCACACUGGGACUGAGACACGGCCAAGACUCCUACGGGAGGCAGCAGUGGGGAAUUUUGGACAAUGGGGGCAACCAUGAUCCAGCCAUUCCGCGUGAGUGAAGAAGGCCUUCGGGUUGUAACGCUCUUUUGUCCGGAACGAACCGGUGCCAGUGAAUAUCGGGCGCUACUGACGGUACCGGAAGAAUAAGCACCGGCUAACUACGUGCCAGCAGCCGCGGUAAUACGUAGGGUGCGAGUGUUAAUCGGAAUUACUGGGCGUAACGCGUGCGCAGGCGGUUUUGUAAGCCAGAUGUGAACUCCACGGGCUUAACCUGGGAAUGGCAUUUGGGACUGCAAGGCUGGAGUUUGGCAGAGGAGACUGGAAUUCCAGGUGUAGCAGUGAACUGCGUAGAUAUCGGGAGGAAUACCGAUGGCGAAGGCAGGUCUCUGGGCUAUAACUGACGCUCAUGCACGAACGCGUGGGGAGUAACCAGGAUUAGAUACCAUGGUAGUCCACGCCAUAACCGAUGUCGACUGGUUGUUGGG
RNAcentral lists this ribosomal RNA (809 nucleotides) under uncultured bacterium. Its description in RNAcentral is "bacterial SSU rRNA". It matches the Rfam family "Bacterial small subunit ribosomal RNA", at positions 22 to 827 of the family's 1533-position model. The record is from RNAcentral.